Molecule: ribosomal RNA, 253 nt
Filed under: uncultured bacterium
Lineage: Bacteria
Description: partial 16S ribosomal RNA
Rfam family: Bacterial small subunit ribosomal RNA
Source: RNAcentral
UACGGAGGGUGCAAGCGUUAUCCGGAUUUACUGGGUUUAAAGGGUGCGUAGGUGAGCCUGUAAGUCAGUGGUGAAAUCUUCAAGCUUAACUUGGAAACUGCCAUUGAUACUAUAGGUCUUGAAUUAUCUGGAGGUAAGCGGAAUAUGUCAUGUAGCGGUGAAAUGCUUAGAGAUGACAUAGAACACCCAUUGCGAAGGCAGCUUACUACGGAUUGAUUGACACUGAGGCACGAAAGCGUGGGGAUCAAACAGG